Molecule: ribosomal RNA, 458 nt
Filed under: uncultured bacterium
Lineage: Bacteria
Description: partial 16S ribosomal RNA
Rfam family: Bacterial small subunit ribosomal RNA
Source: RNAcentral
CCUACGGGAGGCAGCAGUGGGGAAUAUUGCACAAUGGGGGAAACCCUGAUGCAGCGACGCCGCGUGAGUGAAGAAGUAAUUCGUUACGUAAAGCUCUAUCAGUAGGGAAGAAACACUGACUUUACGGUUAUCAGACGGUACCUGAGUAAGAAGCCCCGGCUAACUACGUGCCAGCAGCCGCGGUAAUACGUAGGGGGCAAGCGUUAUCCGGAUUUACUGGGUGUAAAGGGAGCGUAGACGGUGGGACAUGUCUGGAGUGAAAUGCCGCGGCUUAACUGCGGAACUGCUUAGGAUACUGGCGAGCUAGAGAGCAGGAGGGGUAGGCGGAAUUCAUGGUGUAGCGGUGAAAUGCGUAGAGAUUAGAAGGAACACCGAUGGCGAAGGCAGCUUACUAGGCCAUAACUGACGUUGAGGCUCGAAAGCGUGGGGAGCAAACAGGAUUAGAUACCCGUGUAGUC